RNAcentral lists this ribosomal RNA (286 nucleotides) under Lactococcus lactis subsp. lactis bv. diacetylactis. RNAcentral describes it as "partial 16S ribosomal RNA". It matches the Rfam family "Bacterial small subunit ribosomal RNA", at positions 28 to 304 of the family's 1533-position model. The record is from RNAcentral. Lineage: Bacteria; Bacillati; Bacillota; Bacilli; Lactobacillales; Streptococcaceae.
GACGAACGCUGGCGGCGUGCCUAAUACAUGCAAGUUGAGCGCUGAAGGUUGGUACUUGUACCGACUGGAUGAGCAGCGAACGGGUGAGUAACGCGUGGGGAAUCUGCCUUUGAGCGGGGGACAACAUUUGGAAACGAAUGCUAAUACCGCAUAAAAACUUUAAACACAAGUUUUAAGUUUGAAAGAUGCAAUUGCAUCACUCAAAGAUGAUCCCGCGUUGUAUUAGCUAGUUGGUGAGGUAAAGGCUCACCAAGGCGAUGAUACAUAGCCGACCUGAGAGGGUGAU